UACGGAGGGGGCUAGCGUUGUUCGGAAUUACUGGGCGUAAAGCGUGCGCAGGCGGUUUUGUAAGCCAGAUGUGAAAGCCCCGGGCUUAACCUGGGAAUGGCAUUUGGGACUGCAAGGCUUGAGUGCGGCAGAGGAGACUGGAAUUCCCGGUGUAGCAGUGAAAUGCGUAGAUAUCGGGAGGAACACCGAUGGCGAAGGCAGGUCUCUGGGCUGACACUGACGCUCAUGCACGAAAGCGUGGGGAGCAAACAGG
Molecule: ribosomal RNA, 253 nt
Filed under: uncultured bacterium
Lineage: Bacteria
Description: partial 16S ribosomal RNA
Rfam family: Bacterial small subunit ribosomal RNA
Source: RNAcentral